GCCUCGGUGGUGUAGUGGUAGAUCACGCUUUCCCGGAUAGGAUUAAACGCGGGUUUUGAUUCUCGGCCUGAGGCC
Parelaphostrongylus tenuis is the source of this 75-nucleotide non-coding RNA. The record is from the annotation of a GenBank genome assembly. NCBI's taxonomy places the organism in Eukaryota, Metazoa, Nematoda, Chromadorea, Rhabditida, Metastrongylidae.